GACGAACGCUGGCGGCGUGCUUAACACAUGCAAGUCGAGCGAUGAAGCACCUUCGGGUGUGAAUUAGCGGCGAACGGGUGAGGAACACGUGAGAAAUCUGCCUUCAACACUGGGAUAACUCCGGGAAACCGGGGCUAAUACCGGAUAUGAAACCUGCGGGCAUCCGCGGGUUUGGAAAGUUUUUCGGUUGAAGAUGAUCUCGCGGCCUAUCAGCUUGUUGGUGAGGUAAUGGCUCACCAAGGCGACGACGGGUAGCCGGCCUGAGAGGGCGACCGGCCACACUGGGACUGAGACACGGCCCAGACUCCUACGGGAGGCAGCAGUGGGGAAUAUUGGGCAAUGGAGGAAACUCUGACCCAGCGACGCCGCGUGCGGGAUGAAGGCCUUCGGGUUGUAAACCGCUUUCAGUAGGGAAGAAGCGAAAGUGACGGUACCUGCAGAAAAAGCACCGGCUAACUACGUGCCAGCAGCCGCCGUAA
This 479-nucleotide ribosomal RNA is filed under the name uncultured bacterium. RNAcentral's name for it is "partial 16S ribosomal RNA". It matches the Rfam family "Bacterial small subunit ribosomal RNA", at positions 28 to 523 of the family's 1533-position model. The record is from RNAcentral.